RNAcentral lists this unclassified non-coding RNA (6181 nucleotides) under Leishmania donovani. RNAcentral describes it as "gene:LdHU3.19.1410(CDS-product:hypothetical_prote in_conserved)". The record is from RNAcentral. Lineage: Eukaryota; Euglenozoa; Kinetoplastea; Trypanosomatida; Trypanosomatidae.
CGAGCACCUGCAGCUCAGAAACUGCGAGCCAAGCAGACCUACACAGAGAUAGAGAGAGCCGGUAUACUGUGUCGCCUGUACGGGAAGCGAGCCGCCUUGGAUGGACCAGUGAAGUUUAGGCUUGAGACGGAGCGUUGCAACAAAAAAAAAAGGUCACGCCGAUCUCCCAGCACAUCACCGUUCUGUGCCUGCACCCGCAACAACACCGUCACGAACGGUUAUCUUCGUAGCUGCACCACUCUUCCACAAGCACAUACAUACGCGCACGCACGACACUCACAUGAGCGAUGGGCGGUCCUUCUGGUUUUCUGACCUCCUGCGCCAUGGCAGCCAUGAGAAGAGUGAGUUGAGAGGUGGUGGCCACUCCGACAGCAGCGACAGCAGUGACCGAGCGACGGAAGUCUUUUACGAUCAUCAAUCCGGCCUGCCGCAACAUGAGCCAACAGGCCCCUCCACCGCUCGAAGCGGCGACAGUCUUGCCCACCAGUCUCUCCGGCUCAUCCCGGGGGGCCAGCAACAGCAGCAGCAGCAGCCACCAACCAAGCAAGUGCCCUCUGCGUCUCCGACUUCCUCCCUAGAUGACGCGCGUAAAGGCAGCGUUGACAGCUUCCCUGCCAGCACCUUUGCCUCAACGGCGUCGGGUGCAACGUCGUCCGCGUUGGUUGGCACGGUGGAUGAGGCGGUGGUCACGAUGGACCACGCCGUCCGUGUUCCGUCUGCCCUGCGUGGUGCUGGUCGCCGAACCAUGUUCGACGUUCUCGUCGACGUCGCAGCACGACAGCGACGACAGGAACAGCGGCAGUCGCAACCGCAGGAGUCUGCGGAGGGUAAGAGCCUCGCCAGCAAACCUAGCACCGCCACCAGAGAUGCUCAGGUGCUGGCGCCGCACCCGUCCGGUACCGCAGCGUCGUCGCUGGUCGUCGCCUCCUCUGCGCGAGAAGUGACGUAUCAGAUGCUCUUUCCUCGAGCUGCAGUUGCUGCGGCUGCGGCGCGCAUGUCUUCAUCGGGCCCGACUACUCCCCCCGCGGUGGGCUCGACGCGAGAGCUGGGCAAGGCAUACACCCUUGCGGCAGCUCCUCCAGCUGCUGCAUCUGCGGCGGAGCCGCCUUCGCCGAGCAGAAGCGAGCGCAUACACAGGUACACCUCGCCAGUCUCUCACCGUUCGCCUCCACUGUCCUCUCCGCCGCCGCCUGAGCGGGCGAAGCCGGACCGCCGCCUGCGUCAUCUUCUGCCAGCGCACUUGCGCGGCUGCCCAGCUGCGUCGCAGAGCGCCGAUGACAACUCACACAGGCACCAGCUGCAGACAGCGCGGCAGCACGAGGCCAACUGCCCGCCGGCUCGGCAUGCAGGUCAUCGCGCCGAAGUUUCGGCUCUGGAUGUGUCGGAUAUCUCCAGCAUCAGCAGCUGCAGCGAAGACGAUACUGCAACGCCUGGCAUGCGACAUCCGCCGCCUCACCGAGGAACGAGGCGAAAUGCGGCCGAACCCUCAGCUGCCGCGUCUACGUCGCAUCCGCAGGCGCCAACAGCGGUCGCACGGCCGACACUGCUUUCCAGGCUCAUCGACGGUGGCGCCGAAGAACUCGUGCGCCUCAGCCACCACCGUGAGGGACGCGACCGAGGAGAGCCAGAUCGGCCGCAAGGGGCGGCCAAAGAACCAAAAACGAGGUGGGCGCUGCUGGAGCACGUGCUCAUGGGAACUGCCGGGGCGGCGGCGUCAUCAUCGCACGCAGGCAGGCCGAAACUUGCGGGUGACCGCCACCGCCGCAGGCGCAGCCGACACCAUCGUGUAGGUCGUACCACUAACAGUGGCAGCUCAGAGAGGAGCACAACACACAGCAGGACCACCGACGCCUCUGCAUCAGACCCGGACAGCACGAGCAGCCGCGGAGAAGACUUCGGGCACGAUGGUGGCGGUGUUGUCGAUCUCCGCAGGGACCUCGACGACGAAGUGCCGCAGUGGGUGAGGCAGCACGAAGCCGCCCGCGAACGCCUCGCCCAGUUGCAGCAGCAGCAGCAGCAGUUCUCCUGGGCGUCACCGACAUUCAGCAACGCACACAUGCUCGCCACCGCGCGAGUGGCGGCAGCGGACAAGGCCCGGGCGCAGGUGGCGACGACUGCGGCAGCAUCGCAGGCGUUCUUCGGCAAACCGCGGAUUUUCUAUCCUUCGUCGAUGGCGCGGCGCACGCCGAGUGCGGCGUCAUACGCGGCUAGCGGACUCGCAGGUGGUGGGGCUGCUUGGUCGACUGUGAGUGACGUGGGCCGAGGCCGGCACGACACCCGAAGCGCGCUCACUGCAGUAGCGACUGCCGCCGGUGUGCCGCGAUCCCUGCUCGCGUUUUGGAAGGAAGGAAAGCGCCUGCUGAAGCAGCGCUCCUCCAACGCGACAGCGGUGGCCGUGGUCGAGUACUUGUGGCAGCGCUUUCAGGCGUGGAAGCCGUGUGGGUUGCGGCUGUUGCAUCGGCUGCACAGCGGCUUCUGCUCCUGUGAAGCUGCAGCACCGCCAGCGGGGUCGUCCCUGUCGCGCGCCGAGCACGAGAGUGGUCCCGGCCGCCUCCUGGUGAACCCGGCGUGCGAUGAUGCUGUGGAAGAUGCCGGCGGGCCCAUCGAAGACAUAUCGGGCACCACCAGCAGCGAUGACGACGGAGGCCACGCCUCUGCCGUGCAGAGCAAACCGGCACGGAAACCACGCAGAGUCAGCAAGCAGGCAUCGCCGCAGAGGCGUUCACGCGGCACCACCGGUGGAGGUAGCGACGCAACGGACGGGGCAAGCGCACAAAACAAAGACGAAGGGAAAGCAGGCGAUGCUGCCGCAGCCGUCGCCGCCGCCGAGGCGGGCGGCGGCAGUGACGAGGGUAUCGAGCUGCAGAUGAAGGUGCGCUACAUGGAGUCCGCCUUCAACGUCGUGGCCGUGCAUGGUGAGCUCACCUAUGCGAGCGAAGGCGCCUGCGCGCGUCUGGGACUUGCUUAUCCUCUUCCUCCCUCCCCUCCCUGCUGGUCACCACGCAUCAGCGGUCGUGCAGACGACGCUGAAACGACGCCAGCAGAGCAACAGCGACGGUGGACGUUCCUCGUUCCGGAGCCGGCGCUCACGCAGGUGCCGGUGCUGCUGCAGGAGUACCUCUACCUCGCGCCACCCUACACCGUCCUUCGCGAGGUGCAGACUGUCCUCUCCAGCUAUAACUUCACAACAGACGCGCUGCUGCGGCAACACGCGGCGGAGGAAAAAGCCGCUCAAGAAGAAAGGCAGCGACGGCGCGCGCUCGACGCGUCCAACGUAGCCGGUGUGGCGGCGCAGAAGACGAACGCAUCGUUGACGACGGCUGCAGUAGCGGGUCGCGCAGCGGCCGAUGCCUUUUUGGAGGGGCACAUUCUAGACCGUGGCGACGGAGAGUCUGGUGGUCGUCAACGUGGGGUUAGCCCGACCCGCAGCGGAUCGCUGCGCAACAGCGCUGCCGCGAGUGCACCCACCCGCUGGUGGGCAGCGCUGGAGGGGAACGACGAGACCUCUGUCGUCCGCGAAGCCGCCUCGAUCCACACACGGGCACCGGCUGACCAUGCAGACGCUCCCGUAGCGAAUCGCUCCCCAACAUCCUUGCGCCGAGAGUUCGGUGGUGAGCCGGUGAACCUCGGCCCGACACGCCCGGGUCGGGCGACGCCGCUGAAGCACCCCCAACGCCGGCAGUGGCCCGUGGAGGACGAGGAGGACACCCACCUGCGAAUCCAGUCAGCUGACGGCGUGGAAGGCCACACCCCAACCGCAGUGAGGCAGUGCGGCAGCGGUUGUGCGGGAGCGUCCCCAGAGCCGCACCAGCCACCCGUCUCUCGCUUCCCACCACCACUACCACCGCCACUGAGCGAUGCCGAAAAUGGGUGUGACGCCGUCAACGAUGAGGCACAGUGGCUACAAGGCGUCCCGUCCGAACAGCCAACCGUGUCCCCGUCCUAUGUACGCGCGAGUACCGCCAGCGUCAACUCGAUUUCCAUCGACGGGUUCUACGACCCGCUCGCGAUGCCCGCACUGCCGACAACGGGCGCCAAGAGGGGGAUAGCGGCAGCGUGGGGCGCCAACGAAAGGCGAGGUGACGGUGGCGGCAGCGGCACGAACGGGUUGGCCAUCGCCACCGCAGACGUGACGACGGUGCUCACCAGAGAAUCGAGGCACGGCGCUGGCCGUGAGUUUGUGCCAGAGGACGCGUUGGAGCGCGGACUCGCUGCGGGGCCUCGGCAACUGCCAAUCCCGCCUCAGAUGACCGCGCGUCCGAGCAACAGCCUCCGCUCGCCCGGAGAAGUCGAGCCAGCUGCCGGUGUGUUUGGCGCUGUUGUCGGGGAGGAUGCUCGGGGCCGUGGUGGCAACGCGCUCUCCAAUGAAAUGUCUACCGUGACAGCAGCAGCCAUCUCGGCGGACCCGUUGAUGGAUCAUCGCGUUGGGGGUGGCUUCCCGCGCGGCCCGACAGCUGACUGGGACAUCCCUGUCGAGGUCCUCUUUGCGCUGAGCGGCGGCAGCGGUCAAUGGCGGGAACGAUCUGAACAGCCUUUGCGACAUACGCGGCGGCACCGCGAUGCCGAAGUCGGCAGUGUAAGAAAGGAAGAUGAAGACGAUGACGGAGCUCCUGUGGUGCAGCAAGGCCUCGCAGGUGCCCGUAGCCAGGCCAUCACUUCUGCACGGUUCGCGCAAAAGCCAGUGCACGCGCACAAGCGCCACCGACACGAAACCCGCACGAGCGACGGCGCCUUCGAAUUUACCGCGCGUGGUGGGGCGUCCAGUGCGUUGGGCAGUGCCGCUGCGUCGCAGCUCGCCUCGCAGAGGAUCCCGCCGAGCGCAACCUUUUCGUUUCCGACCCCGCGUUGGCGAUCCGCGUCCGCUGCGUCUUCGCUCGUCUCAUCUGCAGCGCCGUCAUCCAGUAGUCCUUCUUCUUUGUCAGAGCCGGAGGACGGGGACGACGACGGUGUGAAAGGCGGCGGCACUGCCCAUGCAGCCCGGAAACCGUGCUGGAAGGUGAACGUGAAUGGAGCAGUACGCUGGCCGCGUCAUGGUACUCGUCGCAGUGAACGCGAUGGAGUCUUCGUCAGACGCCAGCAGCAGCAGCAAGAGCGGUGGAUCCGCGAGCUCUGGGGCCGCGGGAAGCAGAACAGCGAACCCUCCGUCUCGCCUGCUGCGCCAUCCUCUGUCUCUGCACCGGCUCAUGCGCCGGCCGGCCCCUCUCCAUGCAGCCAGCAUCAGCAGCAGACAUCGCAGUGGCACAGGCAAGCUAUAAUGUGCACAUCAAAGCCUCUCUCCUCGGCUGUUGAUGCAUCGAUAUCGGCGAUGCGUGCGGCGAGCGCUUCCGCCAGAGCGGCGCCAAUAACGAGCGAAACGGGCGGCAACGCCGCGAUGAACUCUGCGCCACGAUCUUCGCCGCUCCCAGACGAGGAUAGUGCCGCCAUGGCAUCGCACGCUGACCCUCUGACGAGCCUCAGCUCUCUGGAGGCGAUUGUCCGUGGUGUUCCAAGCGUGCCAGUGCUGCACCAAGCCGAGGAUGCAGACGCGAGUACCGCCACAGCAAGCUUCUUCGCUCUGGAAGACGUUUACUUGAGCGAUACUGAUUGACAGCGUUGCACGAGCGCGGGGCGCAUAUACAGAUAUACAUCCAGAGAAGCCUGCCGACAUCCGCGCGCGCGUGCGAUAGAGAGAGGGAGGGGGAAGGGUAUGCGUAUGUGUCUACCCCUCUCCCUCCACUCUAUCUGCAUCGGCGCAUCCAGCGUGCGGCACACUUCUCAGUCGUCUUGGUGCCCUUCUGUCUGCUGCUCUUCUCUUCAUGCAUAUAUAUAUAUAUAUGUGUGUGUGUGUUGGGCCUGGCGGCCCUCCCCACAACCACCCCCUCUUGCUGCGGCUACGCGCAUAAGCGCGACCACCGAAGAAGGGCAGGAAAAAUCGUGGCGCACAAGAGAAAGACAGAAGGGGAGGAGGGCAGCUUAGACCGCGCUGCGCAGAGAUGUUCGAGAGGGCGAUGCUGCCGGCGUGCACGUCCCACACGCGCGUCUUGAUUCCUCUCCGCCAGCAAAGAGACAUGCCUGCUCACGCGGCGCAUGGGAAGGGUCGCCGGCAUAUGGAACGCCGCGUCAGUGCCGCUUUUUUCCGUUGGAGCCACCCUCCCCCUCGCACGCUCUUCUCGCUGAGCUCAGCGAGUCCGAAGGCGACUGG